Molecule: ribosomal RNA, 379 nt
Filed under: uncultured bacterium
Lineage: Bacteria
Description: bacterial SSU rRNA
Rfam family: Bacterial small subunit ribosomal RNA
Source: RNAcentral
GUAGGGGGCAAGCGUUAUCCGGAUUUACUGGGUGUAAAGGGAGCGCAGACGGCGAUGCAAGUCUGGAGUGAAAGCCCGGGGCUCAACCCCGGGACUGCUUUGGAAACUGUAUGGCUAGAGUGCUGGAGAGGCAAGCGGAAUUCCUAGUGUAGCGGUGAAAUGCGUAGAUAUUAGGAAGAACACCAGUGGCGAAGGCGGCUUGCUGGACAGUAACUGACGUUCAGGCUCGAAAGCGUGGGGAGCAAACAGGAUUAGAUACCCUGGUAGUCCAUGCCGUAAACGAUGAUUACUAGGUGUUGGAGGAUUGACCCCUUCAGUGCCGCAGUUAACACAAUAAGUAAUCCACCUGGGGAGUACGACCGCAAGGUUGAAACUCAAA